This is a long non-coding RNA of Scatophagus argus, 1981 nucleotides long. RefSeq lists it as uncharacterized. The transcript has 3 exons. The record is from RefSeq and is a predicted model, not a curated record. NCBI's taxonomy places the organism in Eukaryota, Metazoa, Chordata, Actinopteri, Scatophagidae.
AGAAGAAGAAGAAGAAGUAGAGGGAGUCGGGGGUUCGAGGAGAAGAAGAUCGCUGCUCCGCUUGAAGUGACUCCAAACACCGCUGCAGGAGCGCUCAAAGUCCGGCCGCUUCAAACUCCGUCUCCCGUCGUCAUGCGCCUCGGCUUUUAAAAAAGCGUCCCGGCUGCUGCUUCUGCUGCUCGGGAGAGGACAAAUCCACCUUACAUCUGGUGAUCUUUUUUUUUUUUUUUUUAAAAUAACAACAAAAAGCAAUUGGCAGAGUUUUGCGCCCGUCCGGCAGAGUUGUGAGCAGGCGGUGGACACUUCUCCAGGUUUCGGGACUGCGCCGCAUACCAGCCCGGAGCGCAGCGCUCGGGAGUCGGACACAGGGCGCUCCGUCUCUCCACUCCGCUCCCGCUCCGUUCAAAGAUUCUUGUCUCUUUCCUCGUUGUUACCUCGUACACCGGUACAUCAGUAAUGCUCAGCGAGAACUGCUUUCAUUUGAGCUAAAGGGAUAAACACAAACACAUCGCGCGUUUCUCUCCGACUGGAUUUGGAUUUAAGUCCUUUUUUGGCUGCGACCAUGAGUGGAUGGUGGAUAUUUGUUGGCACUCUGGUCGGGAUCCUCACCGUCACCAGUGGGAUACAUGGAGCUUGUAUCUACGGUGGAUCGCUAUAUGCGACAGAAGCAGAAGCCAAGGGAGGUGGUGUUUGGCUGAUGUUCCACAUCCGCACUAAAUCACUCACCAGUCAGCUGUCUCCCAGCUCCAGCCCUGUAACCCGGUGACUCAGAUCAGUCCCACAGGAGGUUGUGCACAGAGGAGCCUGUAUCUUCUGGGUGAAAACAGAGGUCUUAAAUGACAUCACCCUCGGGUCAUCCUAAACAUCCCAACUUUGUCAGCUUGGUUACUUAUGUCAUGGUUGCCACUGGAGAAAGAAACUCUCAAAUUCUUUACUUGGAGAGCAGGUGUUAGAGAAGCAGGAAUGCUCUCAUCUUAAGAUUCUGUAGUUAGAGAUUUUGAGUAAACUGUUGCUCAGCACUUGCCCAGUGAGGGUCAGCUCAGUCUGUAAAGGUUUUAUAUAUAUUUUUAUAUGUAUACAUGUAAUAUAAUAAUAAUAAAAUAUAAUAAAUAAUAUAAGUAAAAUGUAUCAUCUUGCAAACUGGAACCCAUGCCACCCGUGUUUUUUUGCCCACCUGCUAAACAGUAUGAAGCUGUGGGGCUUGUGGGUAAAAUGUUCUACAUGAAUACUGACGUAUUUCAAUAACUCAAGACGUCCUGCUGCGGUGUAGUGUGCCAUCAGGGCUGACACGCUGCUGAAAUACAGCAUAUCGCCCUCAGUGAAGGACAGCAGGGCUCGGCAACAUGCAGCUCCAUGUCCAAAUAUAUCACCUGCCCCUCAAGGCUUGAAUUCCUGGCAUUGCAAGUCGUCAUUUCUGUAGGAAUCAAAAUGUAGGGCACCUCGAGAGGACGAAGGUCCAGGCAGUAACACCAGGCUUUACAAAGUAUCAGGGCUGGGAUUUAACCUGAACAGAACUGAAGCAGUGUUUGGAGUUUAUUGCAUUGGUACCAGUCCAAACCCCUCGAUCCCACCAGCUCUUCGGUUCACUCUUUACAAUAUGUGUCAGGAUGGGUCGGGCGUCGUUGACGCGGAAAUAUACUGAACCCCGAUGCAGAGUCAGAAAGGGGCAGGCAGGCGUGGUGGAGGUCCAAAAACAAUUGUCUUUUAUUCAAACAAGCAAAAUCAAAAACACACACUUACUGUGGCAUAGGAUGAACAAAAAGACCGUGGCAAAAACUCCAGGCAAAAUCAUGGCAUGGCAAAACUUAUCAAGGCAAGGCAGAUAGAUCCUGACAUGACAUGGGGAAACCGCAGACAUACAUGAAAAGACGCAACGCUCUGACCAACAGUGACUGGGAAGACAAGGACUAAAUAGACAUGAUAACAAGACACAGGUGACACACAUCUGGAGGGAGAAAGUAAUCAAGAAAACUUAAAGCAA